GUUCGAUCGAGUCUGGCACAAAGGUUUGUUGUACAAGAUAAAGAAAUGGCUACCUGCUCCGUACUAUUUAUUAAUCAAAUCAUAUCUGGCUAGAAGAUGCUUUUACGUGCAGCAGAAAACCGAUAGUUCAUCACUACUUCUCAUCAACUCAGGCGUCCCACAAGGAAGCGUAUUGGGACCAAUUCUCUACACCCUAUAUACGGCCGACAUGCCAGUUACAAACAACUGCACUGUUGCAACAUAUGCUGAUGAUACAGCCGUUUUAGCCACAAGCACAUCUAUAAAUGAAGCUUCUGAACUCCUGCAG
RNAcentral lists this long non-coding RNA (307 nucleotides) under Drosophila guanche. The record is from RNAcentral. Lineage: Eukaryota; Metazoa; Arthropoda; Insecta; Diptera; Drosophilidae.